Pseudomassariella vexata is the source of this 120-nucleotide ribosomal RNA. The record is from Rfam. NCBI's taxonomy places the organism in Eukaryota, Fungi, Ascomycota, Sordariomycetes, Amphisphaeriales, Pseudomassariaceae.
ACAUACGACCAUAGGUUGCAGAGAACUCGGGAUCCCGUCCGCUCUCCUAUAGAUAAACUGCAAACUGCUAGAUUAGUAGUUAGGUGGGUGACCACUAGCGAAUCCCUAGUGUUGUAUGUU